This 5901-nucleotide long non-coding RNA is filed under the name Nicotiana tabacum (common tobacco). RNAcentral's name for it is "long non-coding RNA (NTAB_LNC002664)". The record is from RNAcentral. Lineage: Eukaryota; Viridiplantae; Streptophyta; Magnoliopsida; Solanales; Solanaceae.
UUUGUAGUUUUUAUUUUAAGAUAAAAUAAAGAAAAAGGGUCAAAAAUAGGAAAAGUAACAAUAUUAGUGCUAAAAAAAUAUUUAAGUACUAAAGGUGUAAAAAUCUCGGGGAGGAUCAAAACUUACAUGUCUACAGCUACCCCUCAUUGACUGGAAACACGAAGAGUUUUCAAGCAAACAACGACGAGACAUGUUUUUGAACUGACCCAUAUUCAAAAAGAUAAAAACAAAGAAAGAGUGGGAGACCGAGUCCUGGUUUUGGACAGCCUACAUAUCCCGAGGUUAUGAGGGAAUCAGGUCACGUGUAGUUCAAAAGUGAAUAAAGUGACGCAGUAUGUGGAGAGGAUGAGAGAGUCGAGUGAGGUUCCAUCGAGGCCCCGGUCCGUAGUCCUGUUAUUACAUCAAAAUCAAAAUGAAAAAGAACCAAACAAACCCAUCAACUAUGAGUUACAAGAUUUCUAUCUAUAAGUCUUCUGAAGCAUAAUCUUGAGUCUUGAAUGGUUGUUCAUGCAGACUUUGAUUUGAACCUUGAUGCUUUCUAGUUGCAUGUAUUGAUUCAUUCUUCCACCGCUUCUCCGGAUCAAGACCUGACAUGCAGUUCUCGAGACUUCAAUAUGUCUUGAGUAGUUCACAUCUUUCAUAUGCUUAUGCAUUUUGGAUUCACUUUUUUCCUUUUCUUUUAUUCUGGAUUGAGACUUCUUCUUUUGGUUAUCUCGGAUUGUCGACUCAAAUUCUUGAGGCGAGCUUCUGUUACUUCUAUCUUGAAUUGAAUUAUGAAAUGACUUCUCUCGUUCUCCAGGUAGGCGCCUGCUAAUGACUUAAAAUUAGAAAUGAGUUCCUUGUUCUCCGGUUGGGCGCCUUCUACCGACUUAAAACUUGAAACUCUUGAAAUAAAUACCCUCGUUCUCAAGAUGGGUGCCUGAUACUACAGCAAAACAGACAAAACAAAGAAACUUUUCUGUCCAAGUUUGCACUAGGAAGAUUUAUGAGUUAUUAGCAGAACGAUAAAUCACCUAUGCUAUCGAUAAAGGAUGCAAUGAUGAGAGUAAAAGUGAAGAUUCGACUAUGAAGUGCGUCUCCUAUGAGUAAAACUAAGAAAAUUUCGACUUGCAAAUGUGUCUACUAAAAAACCUGAAUGACCCUGACUAUGAAGUGCGUCUCCUAGAUUUAAGAUUGAGCUUGCGAAAAACUAUAAACUAAGCUUGACUAAUGUAAAAAAUGAUCCUAUUCUCCAAGAGAGACCUUUGAUAUCAAGAAAACUAAAGAUUAACAACUUAAAACUAAAAACUAACCCUUUUUGUUUCUUUUCAAAUCCAGACUUCCCUUUUUUAAAAAAUUAUUAUCCUAGGAGAAAGUUUUAAUUUUAGGAGAAAUUUCAUCAGCCUAGGUCUCUUUUCUUUUCUUUUCUUUUCUUUUUUUUGGUAUCUUAAAAGAAAGAUUCAUCUGACUAAGAUUUCCAUUCUAGGAGAAAAUUCAUCAGACUAGGUUUCUUAUCUUUUCUAUACUAGGAGAAAGUUCAUCAAACUAGGUCUUUCUGAUUAUCUUAGGAAAAAGAUUCAUCAGACUAAUAUUUCUUUUUUAUCCUAGGAGAAAAUUCAUCAGACUAGGUUUCUUAUAUUAGGAGAAAGAUUCAUCAGACUAGGUUUUUUUUUGUUAUCUUAGGAGAAAGAUUCAUCAGACUAAGAUUUCUAUCCUAGGAGAAAGUUCAUCAGACUAGGUUUUCUAUCAUAGGAGAAAGUUCAUCAGACUAGGUUUUCUAUCAUAGGAGAAAAAAUAUGAAGAGCAAUGGCAACAUUUAUGCACAUUAGCAAGACAAGUAAAGGGAAAGAUUUGAGAAACAUCCCCUUGUCAGCUCUUUUCUUCUCUUCUCUUUUUUUUCUUUUUUUUGAAACCACUUUCCUUGCACUACUUUGUUCCUGUUCAGCUGAUGAAAAUUUUGUCAGCUUUGAAAGCGGUGGUCGGUUUGUGGUCUUGAGUCUUGGGCAGCUAGGCUUUUGCUCAAUCAGCUUGGGUUGGUUUCAAGAGACUUUUGUUCUGCAGCAACCCUAAUAGUUUCACACCCAGUACUAUUUGUAUUUGUGGCUCAAUCAGCCUUAUCCCAACUGGAGAUCUUUGUGGCUCAAUCAACCUUGUUUUGACACGGAAAAUGGAUUAUAUACUAACUCAAACAACAAAUAAAGUAAGGCAACAGAGGAUUCAUCACAACGUGUAAAUUAGAACGAAAGUAGAAAAGGAACAGAGAUAACAGACCUUUUAUAUACAUGAAGAUUUAUUGAAUACAAACAUGUAAACUCAAUGAGAGAAUUUGAACAAACCGAACCAGACACAGAGAACUCGCCAGCGAUCUCGGGUGAUAGAGCUCCAGCGUGAUUAAUGGAAAAAAUUGAAACUGCUUUUGUGGUUCUUUUCGGGUCAGCUUUUGGCUAACAUUUAGGGCUUUGGGGGGCUGUUUUCGAGCUGGGUGUGGGAGGUGUUUGUGGUAGCUUUAUUGCUGACUUUUGGUGAGCUUUUGGAGUUGUUUUCAAUGGACAUUUUGCUGCAUUUUUCAGCUGUAAACAGAGGUGUUUCAUAGUAAUUUUGGAGUUACUUAAUGGAGUUUAAGAGUGGCUUAAUGGAGGUUUCAUUGUUACCCUUUCAUGGCUAAAAAAACAGGCUCUUUGGGGGUGUUUGAGGGUGGUUUAAUGAAGCAUUUUAGGAAGAAUAUAAAAUAUAAGAGAGGAGGUGUGGCUAUUUUUUUAGAUUUGUAUUUUCCCCAAUUUGCUCUAUCUCCUCCUAUCUGUCUCUCUCUAUUUUUUGUCCAUUGUCCUCUCAUCCCCUUUAUAUUAAUUGUGAGCCUAGGUGAGUGCUUGGGGAGGAAGAAAGAAUAUGAGUGGUCUGUAAGGAAUAUUUUUGUGGUCCUCCCCUAUUAAAAUCAAUGUAUUAAUGUAUGUAUGGAAUUGUAGUGUGCAUGUAAUAAGUUUGUUGGAGGAAUUACAUAGGAGGGUGAGGUGUGAAAAGAUGAUUGGAAGAAAAAAAAGAAAUAUAAAAGGAAAAUAAAGAAGAUAAAAGACUACGUCCACUAUUUCAUUUCUUGUUUCGGUUUUGCUUUUGUCGUUCUUUUGAUUUCAUUCUUCUCAUUUUUCCUUUCUUUUUUUUCUUGUUAAUUUUUGUUUUCUUGAUAAAACAAAAGCUCAAAAUACUAAUAUAUAUAUAUAUAGUCCUAAAAAUGUGGAAUCUUUUUAAUUUUUUUUUUUAAAAAAAAACUAAAGUAGAAACUACAAGAGAGGAAAAAAACGUGUAGUAAAAGUAUUGAAAAUUGAAUUAAAUCAAAGUUAUGGCUGAUAAAAUAAAAACUUAGUACACUAAAAUCAUGUGACUUUUUUUGUACUUUUUUUCAAUUUUAUCCAAAGUAAGAUACACUCAAAAUUUCUAGAGAAAUACUACUUAGCUAAAAUAAAAGAAAAAUAAUAUUUUUUGUAGUUUUCAUUUUAAGAGAAAAUAAAGCAAAAAGGUCAAAUAUAGGCAAAGUAACUGUUUACCGUGAAAAUGGUAACAACAAUUAAAUUUGUAAAUGGUAUUCUAAAAAUACAUGAUAUAUACCCGAGCUAGUAGUUAGAGCAGUUGAUACUAAGAACGUGAAGCUUAACGAUAAAAUGCGAGCUAAAACAAGACAGUAAUCAAACCGAAGGGACCUGUUGCCCGGAUGCAAAGCCGGUCGAUAAGGACCUCGGGGUCGGAACUCGAAUCAAGCUCGAGCUAUCGGGGGCAACCGGGAAUAGGAUAACAAUUAAGCAUACGAUCAAGCAAGGCUCUUUACGGCCAAAGUUGUGCAAUAUAGCAUGAAAUAAGUAAGAAGACAAUAGAUGUUAAAGCGGCCUCGAGCCAGUGAGAACGAACAAAAUAUGAGAAAGAGAGAGAGAUAUUAUUGCUUUGGUGGAGAAAUGGAGCAAUUUUAGCCUCUUACAAAGUGGUAUGGGUUCCCCUUAUAUAGGCAAGGGAAUGCGGUAUGGUACAUAGUGCAUUAAAUGUAAAUAUACGGGAAUGGGACGGCUAGACAUGACACAUGAGCCUAUUGAUUCUAGCUGCUUGCCUCGGGAGUUCCCCGUCUUCAUAACCUUUGAUGUGUCGCAGACAGAUGCCUUAACCUCGGAGCCUCUACAGGGCCACAGAUGUUCCUCGAGAUAAGGAGCCUGAUCAUGAUCCCACAACCUUGAGGAGCUAACAUGACAUUCUGAAUAUACCUUAAUGGCGGGAAAUGGAUUCCCCUGAUUUCACCGCAUACAGUAACAAUAUUAGAGUUAAGAAAAUACUUAAGUACUAAAGGUGUAAAAAUCUCGGGGAGGGUCAAAAAUUACAUGUCUACAAUUGCCCCUCUUUGAGUGGAAACACGAACAGUUUUCAGACAAAGACCGACGAGACAUGUUUUUGGCCCGACCCAUAUUCAAAAAGAUCAAAAAAUAAAGAAAGAGUGUGCGACCGGGUCCUGGUUUUGGACAGCCUACAUAUCCGGGGUUAUAAGGGAAUCAGGACACGUGUAGUUCAAAAGUGAAUGGAGUGAUGCAGUAUGUGGAGAGAAUGAGAGAGUCGAGUGAGGUUCCGUAAAGUCCCCGGUACGUGGUCCUUUUAUUAUAUCAAAAUCAAAAUGAAAAAGAACUAAACAAACCUAUCAACUAUGAGUCACAAGAUUUCUAUCUAUAAGUCUUCUGGAACUUAAUCUUGAGUCUUAAAUGGUCCUUCAUGCAGACUUUGAUUUGAACCUUGAUGCUUUCUAGCUGCAGGUAUUGAUUCAUUCUUCCACGGCUUCUCUGGAUCAAGACCGGACAUGCAGUGCUCGUGACUUUAGCAUGUCUUGAGUAGUUCACAUCUUUUAUCUACUUCUGCAUUUUGGAUUCACUUUUUUUCCUUUUCUUUUAUUCUGGAUUGAGACUUCUUCUUUUGGUUAUCUCGGAUUGUCGACUCACAUUCUUGAAGCGAGCUUUUGUUAGUUCUAUCUUGAAUUAAAUUCUAAAACUAGAAAUGAAUUCCCUUGUUCUCCAGGUGUGCGUCUGCAACUGAGUUAAGACUUGAAUGAAUUCCCUUGUUCUCCAGGUGGGCACCUGCUAUUAACCUAACAACUUGAAAUGAAUUCCCCCGUUCUAUAGGUGAGCGCCUGCUACCGACUUAAAACUUGAAACUCUUGAAAUAAAUACCCUCGUUCUCCAGAUGGGCGCCUGAUACUACAGCAAAACAGACAAAACAAAGAAACUUUUCUGCCCCAGUUAGCACUAGGAAGAUUUGUGAGUUAUUAGCAGAACUAUAAAUCACCUACGUUAUCGAUAAAGGAUGCAAUGAUGAGAGUAAAAUUGAAGAUUCGACUAGGAAGUGUGUCUCCUAUGAGUAAAACCAAGAAAAUUUUGACUUGCAAAUGCGUCUACUAAAAAAACUGAAUGACCCAGACUAGGAAGUGCGUCUCCUAGAUUUAAGAUUGAGCUUGUGAAAAAUUAUAAACUAAGUUUAACUAAAGUAAAAAUUGACCCUAUUCUCAAGGCGGGACCCCUGAUUUCAAGAAAACUAAAGAUUAAUAACUUAAAACUAAAAAUUGACCCUUUUUUUCUUUUCGAAUCCAAAAAUUCCUUUUUUUUAAAAAAAAAUUAUUGUCCUAGGAGAAUGUUUUAAUCAUAGGAGAAAGAUUCAUCAGACUAAGAAUUUGAUCCUAGGAGAAAGUUCAUUAGACUAGGUCUCUUUUCUUUUUUUUUGGUAUUUUAGGAGAAAGAUUCACCGGACUAAGAUUUCUAUCCUAUGAGAAAAUUCAUCAAACUAGGUUUCUUAUCUUAGGAGAAAGUUUCAUCAGACUAAGAUUUCUUAUCCUAGGGAAAGUUCAUCAGACUAAGGCGAUUAUCAUAGGAGAAAGAUUCAUCAGACUAGGUUUUUUUUUGUUAUAUU